GAAAAACGACUCUCGGCAACGGAUAUCUCGGCUCUCGCAUCGAUGAAGAACGCAGCGAAAUGCGAUACUUGGUGUGAAUUGCAGAAUCCCGCGAACCAUCGAGUCUUUGAACGCAAGUUGCGCCCAAAGCCUUUCGGCCGAGGGCACGUCUGCCUGGGUGUCACGCAACGUCGCCCCCAU
Molecule: ribosomal RNA, 180 nt
Filed under: Astraea lobata
Lineage: Eukaryota; Viridiplantae; Streptophyta; Magnoliopsida; Malpighiales; Euphorbiaceae
Description: 5.8S ribosomal RNA
Rfam family: 5.8S ribosomal RNA (bases 8-163)
About the family: 5.8S ribosomal RNA (5.8S rRNA) is a component of the large subunit of the eukaryotic ribosome. It is transcribed by RNA polymerase I as part of the 45S precursor that also contains 18S and 28S rRNA. Functionally, it is thought that 5.8S rRNA may be involved in ribosome translocation.
Source: RNAcentral